CGACCACGGUGGGUUUAGCGACUGGGGUGAAGUCGUAACAAGGUAGCCGUAGGGGAACCUGCGGCUGGAUCACCUCCUUUCUAAGGA
Molecule: ribosomal RNA, 87 nt
Filed under: Sphingomonas sp. Leaf28
Lineage: Bacteria; Pseudomonadati; Pseudomonadota; Alphaproteobacteria; Sphingomonadales; Sphingomonadaceae
Description: partial 16S ribosomal RNA
Rfam family: Bacterial small subunit ribosomal RNA
Source: RNAcentral